RNAcentral lists this long non-coding RNA (278 nucleotides) under Lepisosteus oculatus (spotted gar). RNAcentral describes it as "lncRNA (ENSLOCG00000023289.1)". Lineage: Eukaryota; Metazoa; Chordata; Actinopteri; Semionotiformes; Lepisosteidae. The record is from RNAcentral.
CCCUUCUCCGGGGUGUCUUAAGAUUGCGAUACGUGAGGAUUGUGCUACGUUGGGGGGGUUGGGGGGUAGAGGCAGCGUCUGCUCGGAGGUGCGGACGGCGGGGUUGUUUUUAAGAAGAAAAGCAGCUCGGUGGAGCAUUAGGAAGGAAAUGGUUCAGGCGAUUUCCACUGGCGGCGGCUGUAGGCUCGUCCGUGAUCUCGCCGCUGGGUGAGUGAAAGUGAUGGGGUUAAGAGAGAGUGGACCAGAGGAUUAGGGUCAGAAGGAUAGCCGAUGCUUCG